UAGACGAGGAUGGCCAUAUGGUGGAA
Molecule: non-coding RNA, 26 nt
Filed under: Homo sapiens (human)
Lineage: Eukaryota; Metazoa; Chordata; Mammalia; Primates; Hominidae
Source: RNAcentral